This 484-nucleotide ribosomal RNA is filed under the name uncultured bacterium. RNAcentral's name for it is "partial 16S ribosomal RNA". It matches the Rfam family "Bacterial small subunit ribosomal RNA", at positions 30 to 507 of the family's 1533-position model. The record is from RNAcentral.
AUUGAACGCUGGCGGCAGGCCUAACACAUGCAAGUCGAGCGGAUGAAGGGAGCUUGCUCCUGGAUUCAGCGGCGGACGGGUGAGUAAUUCCUAGGAAUCUGCCUGGUAGUGGGGGAUAACGUCCGGUAACGGGCGCUAAUACCGCAUACGUCCUGAGGGCGAAAGUGUGGGUUCUUCGGACCUCUCGCUAUCAUCUUAGCCUAGGUCGGAUUAGCUAGUUGGUGUGGUAAAGGCCUACCAAGGCGACGAUCCGUAACUGGUCUGAGAGGAUGAUCAGUCAAACUGGAACUGAGACACGGUACAGACUCCUACGGGAGGCAGCAGUGGGGAAUAUUGGACAAUGGGCGAAAGCAUGAUCCAGCCAUGCCGCGUGUGUGAAGAAGGUCUUCGGAUUGUAAAGCACUUUAAGUUGGGAGGAAGGGAAGUAAGUUAAUACCUUGCUGUUUUGACGUUACCAACAGAAUAAGCACCGGCUAACUUCGUG